This 472-nucleotide ribosomal RNA is filed under the name uncultured bacterium. RNAcentral's name for it is "bacterial SSU rRNA". It matches the Rfam family "Bacterial small subunit ribosomal RNA", at positions 355 to 825 of the family's 1533-position model. The record is from RNAcentral.
UGGGGAAUUUUGGACAAUGGGCGCAAGCCUGAUCCAGCCAUACCGCGUGAGUGAAGAAGGCCUUCGGGUUGUAAAGCUCUUUCAGACGGAAAGAAACGGUUACGGCUAAUACCCGUGACUAAUGACGGUACCGUAAGAAGAAGCACCGGCUAACUACGUGCCAGCAGCCGCGGUAAUACGUAGGGUGCGAGCGUUAAUCGGAAUUACUGGGCGUAAAGCGUGCGCAGGCGGUUUGGUAAGACAGAUGUGAAAUCCCCGGGCUUAACCUGGGAACUGCAUUUGUGACUGCCAGACUAGAGUGCAGAAGGGGCAAUCGGAAUUCUUGGUGUAGCGGUGAAAUGCGUAGAUAUCAAGAGGAACACCUGAGGUGAAGACGGGUUGCUGGGCUGACACUGACGCUGAGGCGCGAAAGCCAGGGGAGCAAACGGGAUUAGAUACCCCAGUAGUCCCUGAGCGGGCUGGCAAGGCGCAU